This 287-nucleotide long non-coding RNA is filed under the name Mytilus galloprovincialis (Mediterranean mussel). Lineage: Eukaryota; Metazoa; Mollusca; Bivalvia; Mytilida; Mytilidae. The record is from RNAcentral.
GACAAUCUUUAUGUUCGUAUGAGUAUAGCGAAGAACAUAAAUAUUAUAUAUGGUCAUCAAUGUCAAAGUGACCUCUCUAUUAAAUAUUUUUGUUGGUAUGUUCGAGUGAAAAUCCGUGUGCAAAUAUCAACAAACAUUUAUAAUACAGAGGUCACUUAUACAACAUUUUGACCUUAUUUCGGACGAUAACCAUAUUUGGUAAUUUGGCAAAGAAAGUGAUGUAUGCAUACUAUCAAAUAAAUGAAUGAAUAUAUAAGUAAAGUUUGAAUUUUGAAAUUAUAGGCAAG